Molecule: ribosomal RNA, 137 nt
Filed under: uncultured Trebouxiophyceae
Lineage: Eukaryota; Viridiplantae; Chlorophyta; Trebouxiophyceae
Description: partial small subunit ribosomal RNA
Rfam family: Eukaryotic small subunit ribosomal RNA
Source: RNAcentral
CGCCCGUCGCUCCUACCGAUUGAAUGGUCCGGUGAAGUUUUCGGAUUGGUGGCUCCAGGCGGUUCGCCGCUCGGGGCAACCGAGAAGUUCGUUAAACCCUCCCACCUAGAGGAAGGAGAAGUCGUAACAAGGUUUCC